GUCUUAUGUUUUGAGAGUUGCUGGAAAGAUCCAUCGUGGAUUUAGAUCCCAUCUCUCCAAUUUCUAUCUAAAAGAUAGAGAAGGAAACACAAGUGUUGAACCUCCAAAAAUAUAUCAAAGGAUGAAUGGAGAGCAUUUGUUUUCAAACGUUCUGACCCCGCGUUUGUCCAUUAGCCGAUGCAUUUGGUACCUUUUUCCUUGACUCAAGUGGUAAAAACUCGAACAACACGGAGCAGACUUUCUCAACUAUGACAGUGGAGAAUAAGGAGAAGUAUCUAAUAUUUCUAUCUUCCCCUGUUCUCAUUUGGGAGCAUACACUUCGCAGAUGCUGAUUACUGUUAUUUUUAUUUUUCUUUUCUUCGAUUACUUUUAACCAUACUGGGAUUUUCAACUUGUGCAAAAUUAAAAUUGCCAAUAGGUCAAGAUAAGUUGUGGUAUUUUCUUUUCCUUUUUAUAUGAAAAUUAUUUAUGUGUGAAUCAUAACAUAUCUUUUGAAACAAUAAUGAUAAAAAUAACAUAAAAAAUGAUAUAGAAAUAGGAUGGACCUCACCAUCUAAACUUCCACAAUCAA
Cicer arietinum (chickpea) is the source of this 571-nucleotide non-coding RNA. NCBI's taxonomy places the organism in Eukaryota, Viridiplantae, Streptophyta, Magnoliopsida, Fabales, Fabaceae. The record is from RefSeq and is a predicted model, not a curated record.